AUGAACGCUGACAGAAUGCUUAACACAUGCAAGUCCACUUGAACUUCGGUUUGGGUGGCGGCCGGGUGAGUAACGCGUAAAGAACUUGCCUCACAGUUAGGGACAACAUUUGGAAACGAAUGCUAAUACCUGAUAUUAUGAUUUUAGGGCAUCCUAGAAUUAUGAAAGCUAUAUGCGCUGUGAGAGAGCUUUGCGUCCCAUUAGCUAGUUGGAGAGGUAACGGCUCACCAAGGCGAUGAUGGGUAGCCGGCCUGAGAGGGUGAACGGCCACAAGGGGACUGAGACACGGCCCUUACUCCUACGGGAGGCAGCAGUGGGGAAUAUUGGACAAUGGACCAAGAGUCUGAUCCAGCAAUUCUGUGUGCACGAUGAAGUUUUUCGGAAUGUAAAGUGCUUUCAGUUGGGAAGAAAAAAAUGACGACACCAACAGAAGAAGUGACGGCUAAAUACGUG
RNAcentral lists this ribosomal RNA (453 nucleotides) under uncultured bacterium. Its description in RNAcentral is "partial 16S ribosomal RNA". It matches the Rfam family "Bacterial small subunit ribosomal RNA", at positions 29 to 507 of the family's 1533-position model. The record is from RNAcentral.